This 30-nucleotide non-coding RNA is filed under the name Mus musculus (house mouse). The record is from RNAcentral. Lineage: Eukaryota; Metazoa; Chordata; Mammalia; Rodentia; Muridae.
UAUCAGAAUUAUUCAGGCUAGUCCCAAGGU